UGAGGAAUAUUGGUCAAUGGACGAGAGUCUGAACCAGCCAAGUAGCGUGAAGGAUGAAGGUUCUAUGGAUUGUAAACUUCUUUUAUACGGGAAUAAACGAAUCCACGCGUGGAUUUUUGCAUGUACCGUAUGAAUAAGGAUCGGCUAACUCCGUGCCAGCAGCCGCGGUAAUACGGAGGAUCCGAGCGUUAUCCGGAUUUAUUGGGUUUAAAGGGAGCGUAGAUGGGUUGUUAAGUCAGUUGUGAAAGUUUGCGGCUCAACCGUAAAAUUGCAAUUGAUACUGGCAGUCUUGAGUACAGUUGAGGUAGGCGGAAUUCGUGGUGUAGCGGUGAAAUGCUUAGAUAUCACGAAGAACUCCGAUUGCGAAGGCAGCUUACUAACCUGUAACUGACAUUGAUGCUCGAAAGUGUGGGUAUCAAACAGGAUUAGAUACCCUGGUAGUCCACACGGUAAACGAUGAAUACUCGCUGUAGGCGAUAUACGGUCUGCGGCCAAGCGAAAGCAUUAAGUAUUCCACCUGGGGAGUACGCCGGCAACGGUGAAACUCAAAGGAAUUGACGGGGGCCCACACAAGCGGAGGAACAUGUGGUUUAAUUCGAUGAUACGCGAGGAACCUUACCCGGGCUUAAAUUGCAACCGAAUAUGGCGGAAACGCCAUAGCUAGCAAUAGCGGUUGUGAAGGUGCUGCAUGGUUGUCGUCAGCUCGUGCCGUGAGGUGUCGGCUUAAGUGCCAUAACGAGCGCAACCCUUGCCGAUAGUUACUAACAGGUUAUGCUGAGGACUCUGUCGGGACUGCCAUCGUAAGAUGUGAGGAAGGUGGGGAUGACGUCAAAUCAGCACGGCCCUUACGUCCGGGGCUACACACGUGUUACAAUGGGGGGUACAGAGGGCUGCUACCACGCAAGUGGAUGCCAAUCCCAAAAACCUCUCUCAGUUCGGAUUGAAGUCUGCAACCCGACUUCAUGAAGCUGGAUUCGCUAGUAAUCGCGCAUCAGCCACGGCGCGGUGAAUACGUUCCC
RNAcentral lists this ribosomal RNA (1019 nucleotides) under uncultured organism. RNAcentral's name for it is "bacterial SSU rRNA". It matches the Rfam family "Bacterial small subunit ribosomal RNA", at positions 355 to 1375 of the family's 1533-position model. The record is from RNAcentral.